AGAUUCCUUCCCGUCCCGCUGGGGCCGGAGGCUUCAGCUCUGGCUUGACCAGGCUCUGGCGGCCUCAGUCUCUCCAUCCCUAGGGCAGGGCGUUGAGCCAGCUCCCGGGUCAGCCCCCAUCUGCUGCUGCCUCCCUCUUUUUCCCCCCGCUGCCUGCACAAUCCCAGAGGAGGGGUGAGGACGUCAAGAGGCUGAGACCGGCAGGGGAGACCUCCACGGAGGGGUGGGGCUGGCCAAAGGUGCCCCUGGGGAAGCAAACAACCCUGCCUACCUCCCCCUCCAGGCAGCCCCAGCCGAUCGAUCCUGUAGUUGCCCAAUGGGUAUUGACCGAGGGCCUGAGGGUCAGGGUCGCUGGUCCAGAAGAGGCCGGGCAGAGGGAGGCCUGCCCCAUCCCCCACACGCUCCCUCACCUAACCCAAAAGGAGGUAGGUGACCCCUGUCCUCGUCUCCCCUCCCGGACCCCAGCCCCUUAGGGCACAACAUGGUUGAUGCUUGGGGCAGUCAUCCCCCAGAGGCCGUGGGGGCACAUUGGAGCUAGCUAGCUCAGAGGAGGCAGCCAGGGAGGGCUUCCUGGAGGAAGGAGGCCACCCUCUCAAUAUAGAAGCCUAAAAUUGUGAAAGAGUGUGCCUGGCCCAGGAAACAACCUGGCCAAAGGCAUGGCACUUCUAGAGAAGUGCUAGUGACAUGAUAGGGUUGGAGAAAGGCACAGGUGAGGGAAGGAGGGGAGGUUUUAGGGAGUGGAGGGCUGGGGUGGAAGGAUGAGGUCAUUUGUCCCAGUGGACUUUCUGUGGCUCUGGAGCGCCCUCUUUUGCCCCAGGCAGGAAGGCAGAGGGGAGCCUGGUAAAGGAACCACCACAAUUUGAUGUGGCUAUGCAGACUUGGCGAGGGGAAGGGCCUGGGGACUGGGACUGGGACUACAGCCUCUAGUUCCAUGAAGCCGCCCUACUGCCCUGGGAAGACCCCAGGUUUUCAGCCUUGUGAGACCCGCUCUGGGUCGGUGCCUCCAGGCGCUGGGGCGGCUCGCACAGGCUGUUCUGUGGUGGGGAAGAGAGUCUUGGCUCUUCCAAAUUUCCAGCUGUGUAACCUUGGGUGAGUUAUGAACUCCCCUGGCCUCAGUUUCCCCCUCUGUAAGAUGGAGCUAAAAAUAAUUGCCCCAGAGGGCUACUGGUGGAUGAAAUUAAUUAAUUUAUAUUUUAGAAAGCACCUGGCACUAGUGUGCACCCAAUUCCAGUUAGGAAACAUUAUUAUUAAUUGAGAAGAAGAGAAAGUUGGCUUUACCCCAAGGACAUGUUGACAGGUGGGCGGAAGGUGUUUCACCAGAAGAGUCUUCAAAGAAGGACCUGAUACGCAGCCUCUAGGAUUCCCAGACUUGCCUGAUCCAAGAAACUCCCUGGGGCUGUGGUUCAAAACAUCAGCUUCUGGCCGGGCGCGGUGGCUCAUGCCUGUAAUCCCAGCACUUUGAGAGGCCGACGGUUGGGGGGUGGAUCUCCUGAGGUCAGGAGCUUGAGACUAGCCUGGCCAACAUGGUGAAACCCUGUCUCUAUUAAAAAAAAAAUCCAGAUGUGGUGGUGCGCCUGUAGUCCCAGCUACUCGGGAGGCAGAGGCAGGAGAAUCGCUUGAACUCGGGAGGUGGAGGUUGCAGGGAGCCCAGAUUGCACCAGUGCACUCCAGCCUGGGCGACAGAGCGAGUCUCUGUCUCAAAAACAAAAACAAAUAAACCCAAAAUAUCAGCUCCCCUUCUCCAAGUCUCUGACUGGGCAGGUCUGGGUGGGACAGGUCUUGGGAUUUAUAAGGAGGCCCCAGGCCUGAGCCUUCUACCAGGCAGGUAUGGGGAGCAUUCCUCUCUGAUGACAAGGACUCACCCAAAUGGUUUCUCCUUGGGAAGUGAGUCUUUCUUUCCUUCUUUUCUUUCCUUCUUCUUUCCUUCUUUCCUCCUUUCCUCCUUCCUCCCUUCCUCCCUUCCUUCCUUCCUUCUUUCUGUCUCUUUCCUUCCUUCCUUUCUUUCCUUCUUUCGAGACAAAGUUUCACUCUUGUGGGCUCAGGCUGGAGCGCAGUCGUGCUAUCUCGGCUCAUCGCAACCUCUGCCUCCCGGGUUCAAGUGAUUCUCCUGCCUCAGCCUCCCGAGUAGCUGGGAUUACAGGUAUGCACCACAACGCCCAGCCAGUAUUUUUUUUUUUUUUUUUGAGAUGGAGUCUCGCUCUCUCUCCCCGUCUGGAGUGCAGUGGUGCAAUCUCGGCUCACUGCAAGCUCCGCCUCCCGGGUUCAUGGCAUUCUCCUGCCUCAGCCUCCCGAGUAGCUGGGACUACAGGCAUCUGCCACCACGCCUGGCUAAUUUUUUGUGUUUUUUUUAUUUUUUAUUUUAUUUUAUUUUAUUUUUUUCAGAUGGAGUUUCGCUCUUGUUGCCCAGGCUGGAGUGCAGUGGUGUGAUCUCGGCUCACUGCAACCUCCGCCUCCCAGGUUCAAGCAAUUCUCCUGCCUCAGCCUCCCUAGUAGCUGGGAUUACAGGCAUGUGCCACCACGCCCACCUAAUUUUGUAUUUUUAGUAGAGACGGGGUUUCUCCACGUUGGUCAGGCUGGUCUCGAACUCCCAACCUCAGGUGAUCCACCCACCUCGGCCUCCCAAAGUGCUGGGAUUACAGGCGUGAGCCACCGCGCCUGGCCAAUUUCUUUGUAUUUUCGGUUGAGACGGGGUUUCUCCAUGUUGGUCAGGCUGGUCUGGAACUCCCAACCUUAGGUGAUCUGUCCACCUUGGCCUCCCAAAGUGCUGGGAUUACAGGCGUGAGCCACCGUGCCCGGCCUGAAUCUUUCAAAAUACUUUUAAAAACCCUACUGUUUAUUGAGCAUGUACUGCCCGCCUGGCACUGCUCUGAGCCUCAUCCGUGUUGAUUCAUGUCAUCCUCACCACAAUCCUAUGUCGCAGUAGGUACUAAGAUUUGUUCCCAUUUCACUGAUGGGGAAACUGAGACCUACAGAAGCUAAGAAACUUGCCCAACAUCACAAAAACCCUGUGACUUGUGAGGCGUCCACCUGGACAUGGGCUCUUACCCACUGGUUUGCAGUUUCCCAACCUGCCUCAGGGUCCUUGAACACUUGAUGAAAUUCCUCCAGGAGUCUUGGGUAGGAGCUGGGAUCCUUACUUUUCACUCUUUUGCCCUCUAAGUUUGUGACGUUUGAAUCAAGAAAUGGCCGAAUGCUUGAGGCCCAGAGUUUGAGACCAGCCUAAUGAACACAGUGAGACUCCAUCUCUAGGGUGUGGUGGCACAUGCCUGUAAUCCCAGCUCCUUGGGAGGCUGAGGCAGGAGAAUUGCUUGAAGCUGGGAAGCGGAUGUUGCAGUGAGCUGAGAUCAUGCCAUUGCACUCCAGCCUGGGUGACAGAGCGAGACUCCAUCUCAAAAAGAAAAAG
This 3403-nucleotide long non-coding RNA is filed under the name Homo sapiens (human). Its description in RNAcentral is "non-protein coding lnc-CARD10-4:2". Lineage: Eukaryota; Metazoa; Chordata; Mammalia; Primates; Hominidae. The record is from RNAcentral.